GGUGGAACUUUAGCAGCGGCAGCAACACCAGAUCCUUUUAACCCACCGCACGGGGGCGUGGAUGGAACCCGCCCCUUUGCCUCCAAGGCAGCCUGAGCCACUGCAGUCAGGUUCUUAACCCGCUGAGCCGCAGCGGGAACUCCAAAAGUAAACCGGUUUUAAGAAAAGUAUUAACAGCACAGAUCCAACGUGGCCAGAAAAGUCCGCACAGAGGUGCUGAAAAUCCACACGGAGGAGGCGUGAGAAUGAUUAAAUCGGGGACGCUGCUGGCCCCAGACUGAAUGUCCGUCCCCCCCCCUCCGCCCCCCGCAGUGGGAGGUGAUAAGGUCGUGAGGGUGAAUGGAGCGAGUGGCCUAACUCAGACGAGACCUGAGAGAGGGCUCUCUGGCCUCGGCGUGCACACAGCCCAGACGCGACGAGCCAGCGCGCUGAACGCGCCUGCAGAGCUGCUGAGUCUAGCAGUCCCUGGCACUCCGGAUGGCAGCCCAGAGGCCGCGACUCUUCUGCCCAAGUCUUUUUGGAAAGCUGAAGAGCUCCUAAGAAAACCUGUCAUUAGCCGUCAUUCGACACGUUGGGCAAAACCCGCAACCAAGCACUUGGAAGAGUGGCUUUAGGAACACUCACCAGACCUCCUUUCUCAUUCUCAUACCCGGCAACCGCGUGGCCCGUCUCAGGGAGCCACCAUCACGUUGGUCUAUCUCUGCACAGCUGCUCAAGUACGGGUUCCAUCCCAGGAAGCCUGAGGAAGCAGGAAGUCAUCUUAGCUGAGGAAACAGACACUCUGAGCAUCCAUUCCCUGUAACCUGCUUCGUUUCCUAGGCCUUCGUACAAAAUCAAUGCCAAGGUUAAAAAAAUCUAACCAUGGGUUGGGAACAAGGCCUGGAUAUUAUUCCAAGCUCUGGCACAGGCAUGCAGUUUGUCCCUGGGCAAAUUCCUUAGCCUGUCUCUGCCUCAGUCUCAUCAUUCACAGAAUGCUGGGUAAGGAAGGGUACUUCCUUCUCGUUAUUAUGAAAGACAAGCUGUGCUUAUGUCCUUCUGCAAAAUGGGACGCCGCUUUCCUAGGAAGGGUACCAGUCAAUACCAGCGUAUGUAUCUUAAAGAGAUAAUCAGAUUAAAAGCAGCAUGGAAUAUACAAAGAAAAAUGAUUGAAUUUCCUAGUGGACCAGGCAUAUUGCUGCCCUUUGGGUCCAAACGAAAAAGUAUAUCUUGAAUUACUGAAAUUUUCUCUUUUUUAAAUUUUUUUUACUUUAUUUUUUGUCUUUUUGCCAUUUCUUGGGCCGCUCCCGUGGCAUAUUGAGGUUCCCAGGCGAGGGGUCAAAUCGGAGCUGUAGCCGACAGCCUACACCAGAGCCAGAGCAAUGCCAGAUCCGAGCCGCGUCUGCGACCUACACCACAGCUCACGGCGACGCCAGAUCCUUAACCUUCUGAGCAAGGGCAGGGAUCGAACCAGCAACCUCAUGGUUCCUGGUCGGAUUCGUUAACCAUUGCUCCACGACGGAAACUCCCUGAAAUUUUCUUUCUUGCCUCAUCUAAUACAUGACAGAUUCUAAGUGUCAUUCUUACACCUCAUCCAUUAGUAAUUGCUCACUAAAUCGAAAUACUUGCUGCUUUUUCUGGUUGACUGUAUCUAGAACAUUUCCCAGUGUGUUUCAUUCAUUAUUGUACUCAACACGUUUGCUGCAUGAAUAGAUGACUGUGUUGCAUGCUUAUACCGCAAAUUAACAUUUUUUCUUCAUUAGGCACUAUGUUUCUAAUUUCUUGUUUUAUUAAGUAAUGCUGCAGUGUACUAUCUUAUGCAUCAAUAUCUUCCCAGAAAUCUGGUUACCUACUUAAAGCUCAAUCACUGUGAUUUAGAAUUUUGUAGAACAAAAAAGGAAAGCAGUAUACACAAAGAAAAAGAAUAUAUACAAGUGAAACAAACCACAUGGUUAGAAAAUCACAAUAAAAAAUCUGUAAAUGUUAA
RNAcentral lists this long non-coding RNA (1963 nucleotides) under Sus scrofa (pig). RNAcentral's name for it is "lncRNA (ENSSSCG00060045456.1)". The record is from RNAcentral. Lineage: Eukaryota; Metazoa; Chordata; Mammalia; Artiodactyla; Suidae.